RNAcentral lists this ribosomal RNA (547 nucleotides) under uncultured bacterium. RNAcentral's name for it is "bacterial SSU rRNA". It matches the Rfam family "Bacterial small subunit ribosomal RNA", at positions 355 to 896 of the family's 1533-position model. The record is from RNAcentral.
UGGGGAAUAUUGCACAAUGGGGGGAACCCUGAUGCAGCCAUGCCGCGUGAAUGAAGGAGGCCUUCGGGUUGUAAAGUUCUUUCGGUGACGAGGAAGGUUGAUAGGUUAAUAGUCUAUCAAAUUGACGUUAAUCACAGAAGAAGCACCGGCUAACUCCGUGCCAGCAGCCGCGGUAAUACGGGGGGUGCAAGCGUUAAUCGGAAUAACUGGGCGUAAAGGGCACGCAGGCGGUGACUUAAGUGAGAUGUGAAAGCCCCGAGCUUAACUUGGGAAUUGCAUUUCAUACUGGGUCGCUAGAGUACUUUAGGGAGGGGUAGAAUUCCACGUGUAGCGGUGAAAUGCGUAGAGAUGUGGAGGAAUACCGAAGGCGAAGGCAGCCCCUUGGGAAUGUACUGACGCUCAUGUGCGAAAGCGUGGGGAGCAAACAGGAUUAGAUACCCUGGUAGUCCACGCUGUAAACGAUGUCGAUUUGGGGAUUGGGCUUUGAGCUUGGUGCCCGUAGCUAACGUGAUAAAUCGACCGCCUGGGGAGUACGGCCGCAAGGUUA